Molecule: long non-coding RNA, 1566 nt
Organism: Oryzias melastigma (Indian medaka)
Lineage: Eukaryota; Metazoa; Chordata; Actinopteri; Beloniformes; Adrianichthyidae
Exons: 9
Source: RefSeq, a predicted model, not a curated record
UUCCAAAUGGCAUUUUCUGUUGGUUUUAUCACCAUAGCAACCAUUUUAUUUUUGGGUCCCUUGGGUGUGACGAUCAGGUUUAUUUCAUUUUUGUAAAAUUUUUGUAAAGUAAAAUUUUUGAUUCGAUGGGCAACGGAGGAAUUUCCUAAUAUUUUUAUUUAGUAUGUUUUGUUGUUAUGCUCAUGUAUUAAAUUUAGCAAUAUUCCAGGAAAAAAAUGUGGAAGCCACUUUUGCAAGCUUGCUACAUGAACGCUGGUCCAAGUUACUCCUGUUACUUCUACAGCUGUGGCCGUAUUUGGUUUUGUUUUUUCGUUUUGUUCUGUGUUUUGUGCAUUUCUGUCAGAAUGGGACUUCUGUGUAUUUGUGGAUCUUUGUGUGUCUGUCUUUGUUGAUUUGUUUCAGGUGUGGUGCUGGAAGGGCGGGGCUCCCAUUGGUCUCCAUUGAUGGAGAGAGCCUCUAAAUCCACCAUGAAGACCUCCAGACCACGAGAAGGGAGCUGGGCUGCAGCCAGUCUCCACUGCAGUAUGAUGGAGUCCCAACGUGCAGUGGAGGCCUCAGUCCAUCUCUCUGACAGCAGCUGUCGUUCGUGGGACGGCAGCCAGGUCUGGCUGCAGCUGCAUGGAGUCACAGGGACCUCCUCCAGCCGAGGACAUGGAGUGCUCCUGCACCCCUGCACCGUGGCAUCAGUAUUCCAGACCCGUUCAUGGACACAACGUUCCUGCUGAAGGCUGCUGCUCCUCCUGCCCUGCACCACCAGGGGGCGCUCAACUCGCAACCAAAUCUGGGGGAGCGUGCAUAUAGCUCUCAGUUGCCAGUCAACUUUACAUGACCGAAAAAUAACCUGGGUUUGUUCUCCACCUUUACCUGCAACAAGCUUCUAAAGAAAAGACUGCAUCAUUUUUCUGGUUCGGCUUUCUGCUUCAGCAGCAUCCAAAUAUCAAGAUCAGGGUGAAAACAUCUUUAAUCGUCAGGUCUUUUUUGUGGAAAAUCUACAACAGAUCCACUAAUAACUUCACAUCUGAAGCAGUUGUGUAGUGAUCGUCUUCCUGAACUCUGACAGUUUCCCUCCUUUUGACUCCUUGAUGACUGAAGCAGCAGCAUCAUAGAUGAGAAGAAGAAGCAGUAAAAUCCAAAAACAGCAAAGGUGUCGUCAGUGUGUGCAGAAGUCAUGUCUGGAGUCUUUCCGAGACUCCUUGGCUUGGUUCUUUCUGCUGAAAGGGUUCCACCGUUCCCCCUCCUCAAAAAAAGAAAGCGAACAGAGACGGGGGAAAAAGACGAGAAGGUUCUAUUAAAAGAAUAGAUAUUACACUACGGCUGGCUGUCUGCGUUUCCGGCGCUGCUGCCACCAGGAAGACCUUCUCUGGUUCUUGACCUUCAAGUCGACAAAUACUGAGAGUCUUUUCUCGAGUUUCCAACAGCACUUGGUUUAGAAAUGCCCCCCCCCCCAGCUGUCUGUGUCCUCCAACCCUGUAUGGAAAAAACAACAAAAAACAAAUCAAAAUGACAGGAAACGCUCUGGGAACAGCGUGGCGUGUUCCUGCGCCGCUCGGUCCAGGAGAACCGCUG